RNAcentral lists this ribosomal RNA (1343 nucleotides) under uncultured bacterium. RNAcentral describes it as "16S ribosomal RNA". It matches the Rfam family "Bacterial small subunit ribosomal RNA", at positions 28 to 1378 of the family's 1533-position model. The record is from RNAcentral.
GACGAACGCUGGCGGCGUGCUUAACACAUGCAAGUCGAACGGAAAGGCCCUGCUUUUGUGGGGUGCUCGAGUGGCGAACGGGUGAGUAACACGUGAGUAACCUGCCCUUGACUUUGGGAUAACUUCAGGAAACUGGGGCUAAUACCGGAUAGGAGCUCCUGCUGCAUGGUGGGGGUUGGAAAGUUUCGGCGGUUGGGGAUGGACUCGCGGCUUAUCAGCUUGUUGGUGGGGUAGUGGCUUACCAAGGCUUUGACGGGUAGCCGGCCUGAGAGGGUGACCGGCCACAUUGGGACUGAGAUACGGCCCAGACUCCUACGGGAGGCAGCAGUGGGGAAUAUUGCACAAUGGGCGGAAGCCUGAUGCAGCAACGCCGCGUGCGGGAUGACGGCCUUCGGGUUGUAAACCGCUUUCGCCUGUGACGAAGCGUGAGUGACGGUAAUGGGUAAAGAAGCACCGGCUAACUACGUGCCAGCAGCCGCGGUGAUACGUAGGGUGCGAGCGUUGUCCGGAUUUAUUGGGCGUAAAGGGCUCGUAGGUGGUUGAUCGCGUCGGAAGUGUAAUCUUGGGGCUUAACCCUGAGCGUGCUUACGAUACGGGUUGACUUGAGGAAGGUAGGGGAGAAUGGAAUUCCUGGUGGAGCGGUGGAAUGCGCAGAUAUCAGGAGGAACACCAGUGGCGAAGGCGGUUCUCUGGGCCUUUCCUGACGCUGAGGAGCGAAAGCGUGGGGAGCGAACAGGCUUAGAUACCCUGGUAGUCCACGCUGUAAACGGUGGGUACUAGGUGUGGGGUCCAUUCCACGGGUUCCGUGCCGUAGCUAACGCUUUAAGUACCCCGCCUGGGGAGUACGGCCGCAAGGCUAAAACUCAAAGGAAUUGACGGGGCCCCGCACAAGCGGCGGAGCAUGCGGAUUAAUUCGAUGCAACGCGUAGAACCUUACCUGGGUUUGACAUGGAUCGGGAGUGCUCAGAGAUGGGUGUGCCUCUUUUGGGGUCGGUUCACAGGUGGUGCAUGCCUGUCGUCAGCUCGUGUCGUGAGAUGUUGGGUUAAGUCCCGCAACGAGCGCAACCCUUGUUCACUGUUGCCAGCACGUUAUGGUGGGGACUCAGUGGAGACCGCCGGGGUCAACUCGGAGGAAGGUGGGGAUGACGUCAAGUCCUCAUGCCCCUUAUGUCCAGGGCUUCACGCAUGCUACAAUGGCUGGUACAGAGAGUGGCGAGCCUGUGAGGGUGAGCGAAUCUCGGAAAGCCGGUCUCAGUUCGGAUUGGGGUCUGCAACUCGACCUCAUGAAGUCGGAGUCGCUAGUAAUCGCAGAUCAGCAACGCUGCGGUGAAUACGUUCCCGGG